GAUGAACGCUGGCGGUGUGCCUAAUACAUGCAAGUCGAGCGAACGGACGAGAAGCUUGCUUCUCUGAUGUUAGCGGCGGACGUGUGAGUAACACGUGGAUAACCUACCUAUAAGACUGGGAUAACUUCGGGAAACCGGAGCUAAUACCGGAUAAUAUUUUGAACCGCAUGGUUCAAAAGUGAAAGACGGUCUUGCUGUCACUUAUAGAUGGAUCCGCGCUGCAUUAGCUAGUUGGUAAGGUAACGGCUUACCAAGGCAACGAUGCAUAGCCGACCUGAGAGGGUGAUCGGCCACACUGGAACUGAGACACGGUCCAGACUCCUACGGGAGGCAGCAGUAGGGAAUCUUCCGCAAUGGGCGAAAGCCUGACGGAGCAACGCCGCGUGAGUGAUGAAGGUCUUCGGAUCGUAAAACUCUGUUAUUAGGGAAGAACAUAUGUGUAAGUAACUGUGCACAUCUUGACGGUACCUAAUCAGAAAGCCACGGCUAACUACGUG
RNAcentral lists this ribosomal RNA (497 nucleotides) under uncultured bacterium. RNAcentral's name for it is "partial 16S ribosomal RNA". It matches the Rfam family "Bacterial small subunit ribosomal RNA", at positions 28 to 507 of the family's 1533-position model. The record is from RNAcentral.